This 497-nucleotide ribosomal RNA is filed under the name uncultured bacterium. RNAcentral describes it as "partial 16S ribosomal RNA". It matches the Rfam family "Bacterial small subunit ribosomal RNA", at positions 28 to 507 of the family's 1533-position model. The record is from RNAcentral.
GACGAACGCUGGCGGCGUGCCUAAUACAUGCAAGUAGAACGCUGAGGAGAGGAGCUUGCUCUUCUUGGAUGAGUUGCGAACGGGUGAGUAACGCGUAGGUAACCUGCCUUGUAGCGGGGGAUAACUAUUGGAAACGAUAGCUAAUACCGCAUAACAAUGGAUGACACAUGUCAUUUAUUUGAAAGGGGCAAUUGCUCCACUACAAGAUGGACCUGCGUUGUAUUAGCUAGUAGGUGAGGUAAUGGCUCACCUAGGCGACGAUACAUAGCCGACCUGAGAGGGUGAUCGGCCACACUGGGACUGAGACACGGCCCAGACUCCUACGGGAGGCAGCAGUAGGGAAUCUUCGGCAAUGGGGGCAACCCUGACCGAGCAACGCCGCGUGAGUGAAGAAGGUUUUCGGAUCGUAAAGCUCUGUUGUAAGUCAAGAACGGGUGUGAGAGUGGAAAGUUCACACUGUGACGGUAGCUUACCAGAUAGGGACGGCUAACUACGUG